UAGGGAAUCUUCCGCAAUGGGCGAAAGCCUGACGGAGCAACGCCGCGUGAGUGAUGAAGGUCUUCGGAUCGUAAAACUCUGUUAUUAGGGAAGAACAAAUGUGUAAGUAACUAUGCACGUCUUGAUGGUACCUAAUCAGAAAGCCACGGCUAACUACGUGCCAGCAGCCGCGGUAAUACGUAGGUGGCAAGCGUUAUCCGGAAUUAUUGGGCGUAAAGCGCGCGUAGGCGGUUUUUUAAGUCUGAUGUGAAAGCCCACGGCUCAACCGUGGAGGGUCAUUGGAAACUGGAAAACUUGAGUGCAGAAGAGGAAAGUGGAAUUCCAUGUGUAGCGGUGAAAUGCGCAGAGAUAUGGAGGAACACCAGUGGCGAAGGCGACUUUCUGGUCUGUAACUGACGCUGAUGUGCGAAAGCGGGGGGAUCAAACAGG
RNAcentral lists this ribosomal RNA (429 nucleotides) under Actinomycetes bacterium. RNAcentral's name for it is "Actinobacteria bacterium partial 16S ribosomal RNA". It matches the Rfam family "Bacterial small subunit ribosomal RNA", at positions 355 to 776 of the family's 1533-position model. Lineage: Bacteria; Bacillati; Actinomycetota; Actinomycetes. The record is from RNAcentral.